GACGAACGCUGGCGGCGUGCCUAAUACAUGCAAGUAGAACGCUGAAGAGAGGAGCUUGCUCUUCUUGGAUGAGUUGCGAACGGGUGAGUAACGCGUAGGUAACCUGCCUUGUAGCGGGGGAUAACUAUUGGAAACGAUAGCUAAUACCGCAUAACAAUGGAUGACACAUGUCAUUUAUUUGAAAGGGGCAAUUGCUCCACUACAAGAUGGACCUGCGUUGUAUUAGCUAGUAGGUGAGGUAAUGGCUCACCUAGGCGACGAUACAUAGCCGACCUGAGCGGGUGAUCGGCCACACUGGGACUGAGACACGGCCCAGACUCCUACGGGAGGCAGCAGUAGGGAAUCUUCGGCAAUGGGGGCAACCCUGACCGAGCAACGCCGCGUGAGUGAAGAAGGUUUUCGGAUCGUAAAGCUCUGUUGUAAGUCAAGAACGGGUGUGAGAGUGGAAAGUUCACACUGUGACGGUAGCUUACCAGAAAGGGACGGCUAACUACGUG
This 497-nucleotide ribosomal RNA is filed under the name uncultured bacterium. Its description in RNAcentral is "partial 16S ribosomal RNA". It matches the Rfam family "Bacterial small subunit ribosomal RNA", at positions 28 to 507 of the family's 1533-position model. The record is from RNAcentral.